UGAAGUUGCACACUGCCAGAUGGAAGCC
RNAcentral lists this non-coding RNA (28 nucleotides) under Rattus norvegicus (Norway rat). Lineage: Eukaryota; Metazoa; Chordata; Mammalia; Rodentia; Muridae. The record is from RNAcentral.